This 469-nucleotide ribosomal RNA is filed under the name uncultured bacterium. Its description in RNAcentral is "partial 16S ribosomal RNA". It matches the Rfam family "Bacterial small subunit ribosomal RNA", at positions 28 to 507 of the family's 1533-position model. The record is from RNAcentral.
GACGAACGCUGGCGGCGUGCUUAACACAUGCAAGUCGAACGAUGAUCUCCCGCUUGCGGGGGUGAUUAGUGGCGAACGGGUGAGUAAUACGUGAGUAACCUGCCCUUGACUCUGGGAUAAGCCUGGGAAACCGGGUCUAAUACUGGAUACUACUUCCUGCCGCAUGGUGGGGGGUGGAGAGGGUUUUACUGGUUUUGGGUGGGCUCACGGCCUAUCAGCUUGUUGGUGGAGUAAUGGGUCACCAAGGCGACGACGGGUAGCCGGCCUGUGAGAGUGACCGGCCAUCCAGAGACCGAGGCGCGGCCGCGGUUGCGACGGGUGGGAGCUGGGGGGAAGCUUGCCCGAUGGGCGGCAGCCUGAUGCAGCGACGCCGCGUGUCGUAUGACGGUCUUAGGGUUGAAAACCUCUUUCAGAAGGGAAGAAGCCACUAGUGACGGUACCUGCAGAAGAAGCGCCGGCUAACUACGUG